This 4588-nucleotide long non-coding RNA is filed under the name Homo sapiens (human). RNAcentral describes it as "HSALNT0342978". Lineage: Eukaryota; Metazoa; Chordata; Mammalia; Primates; Hominidae. The record is from RNAcentral.
UCUGUAAUUCUGGGCCGUGUUCCGGAAGCCUCGUAAGACAAAAGCGAACGAGAGGCGGAAAAAAGGAAGACGCUUCCUGAAGUUGGGGAUGCUGGACUAGUUUUCAUACUAGAUCCCCUCGUGGCAGCAUUAAGGAACUUCACAUUCUUCUCACACUAUUCAUGGAAAGUUCCUGGAACUCCCACAGCAGCAAGAAAACUUCGCUUGUAGGAGUCCUUAGCACAUCUGUAAAGUUUUAUUGGCCAAAAUGUGAUACAUCUCCAUUUCUGGAUCAGUCACUGUGGUCAAGUGCAAGACGCUCUACAGGACUCAACCUGGGGAUGAGGUCUGUCUACUCCAUCCAUAUGGUCACUUUAUACUGAGGUUGGGGUUGCUGCUUUUUAAGAGAUGAAAAGAUCCAAGGUGUGACACAGAAUGGAUGACUGGAGUGGAAAAAAUGAAAAUGUCAUUGGAAUAUGGAAGUAAAGAAACUGAGAAGCUGAGAGUUUUUGCAUCAUCCAGUCAGGUAUGGAAAUCACCAAGGAUAAAGGAAGGAACUGGGUUAGAAUGGAAGACCUUUUGCCAGGAAUGGAAGACUUCAGUAAAUGAAGAGAUUUGACUAGGAUGUUGGCAGAAGAUAGUGAGAAGGUCUAAGAAAGGGUGGUAUAUCCAGAUGACAUAAACAUCAAAAGAACGGUGAUUUUUGCAGGAGGGAAGGGGUGAAAUAAUUUGAAAGUAGCAAUGGGAGAGAGCAAGGAAUGCACCUACCUCCAAUCCUGGCCCUGACAUUCUCUCAGGGACCAGAUAGGUUUCAACUAAGGUAAGGCAAGGAGAUGAUGGGAAAAUGAGGGAAAGGGGACUGGACUGCUGAACACAGAUGAGAGUCACAUGAAACACUAGAAGGGUUUAUUUAGGGAGGGGGAGAAGUGGAGAGAAUAACAGUUUGUGGAUUAUGAUUUUAUGAGAAAAAGAAGGACUUAGAGAGGCUGGAACUUCUGCAGAUUAGUGAGCUACACAGGGAUGUGAAGCAUGAUUGGCUUGAACCUGGUAGUCUCAUCUUGUCAUCCUCUUAGUGGUGUGUGCAGCCUAAGGCAUUAAAUUAUGGUGCAGCCUCUGGGCUAAUAGUUACUCUCUCAACAGUGGAGAGUUCUACAUAAUUUGCCAUAAUUAGAUACAUUACCUUAGAGAAAGUGCUAAACCCUUCAAAAUCCCAGUUGCUUAAUCUAUGCAAUGAGGAACUGAUCUAAAUUUCCUAAACUUCUUUAGACAUGUUAAGGAUCUGACAUUGAAAAAGUGAGGUUAUGCCACUGGUAAGUUUGCAGUAUUAAAAAUAAAUAUUCAUCUUUCAAAUCAAUGUAUCAGGAGCUAAUAUUAGGAAGAAAGAGAACUAUCUGAGUGUUUAUGCAUCUGCUGCAUUUGACUUCAAACUGUGUUAAUGAUCUCAACAAAAUAGGUAAGUGAAAGAACAAUUCAGCAUAUUUUAGAGACAUUUGGUUAUGCCUUCCUGCUAAAGCAAAUACAUUUUGUAACUCAUAAAUAUGAAUUAAUUUAUGACCUCUCAAACGCUAAAUAGUAAAGUUGAAAUUGAAUUGCCAACCUUAUCUCGCACCUUCCUUCUAUUCUGUUGGACCCCUAUCCAACUGAUGUAUCAGUUCAGUCAAUGCUGUAACCACACUAAUAGCCUGCUGCACAAAACUGCCUAUUUCAAUCCAAAUAGUGGAACAACUUUGGGCUGAAUCCAACAAUGAAUCCUGCUCUCUGGGGAGCUUUUCUUUAGGUCUUCUUAUUUCUCUGAGUUCUGUGUCUUGGCAGGUGUUUUGUUGAAUGGUUUAGAUUCUUCAGGGAGAGAGGUAACUGAGGGAAAAAGCAGGAAAGGCUGAGCUUGAUUAGGAAAGGAUAUUGUAUAAAAUCAAAGGGGGAUAAUUUAGACAUUACAUCGGUAUAUAUUCACUCAUUUGCAAAAAAAAAAAAAAUUAUAUAUGGGAGGUAAAAGCCUGAUACAGGUGAAUUAAUUUCACUAAGCAAAGAGUCAAAAAUUGGAAUAUUUCAGCAGUUGAAAAAUAUAUUUGCACAUAUAUGAAAGGAGUUCUGAAGUUUCUUUAUCUUAUGACAGUGAAUGUAAUUUUGCAUUUUUGUAUUUGAGAAAUACGGCUUGUUAGCUUAUUUCAUCCUAGAUAUUGUACCUGUAGUUUGGGUAAUUAGCCACUAGAUGGCAGGGCCGUGAUGUGAAUAAAGGUUACAAAACAAUACAUGGGUAUUCUGUACUCUUAGAUAAUUUAAAAAGCCAACACGUGGAAUUCCUCCCAACACAGUUUAAAAGUAGAAGAUGAGCACAUAUUAUGUAUUAGGAUAUUUGCAAGCACUGGAGAUGCAAAUUACAUGAUCUCUGUCACCAAAGAGAUGCUAGUUUUAUAGCCAAAAAUAUGUAUGCUAUAUUUGUGUUUCUUAAAGCACUAUAAUUAAAUGUGAUAAAUGUUAUUAUAGAUUUAUUUAUUUCAAAGUAUAAUGGGAACAUAGGGACUGUUAUAAUGAAUUUAGACUGCAACUUAUCUUUAAUUGUGGAUAAAGUGGCAAUAUAAAAUUACAGAAACAUUUUCAAAAAACUAAAAUUAACUCUAAUUUUUUACUUCAUAUCCAGUGUUUCUCAAUCGGGAAAGAAUUUGCCUCCCAGAGGACAUUUGGCAAUGUCUGGAGCUACUUCUGUUUGUCACAAUUAGGGUAAGGGUGCCACUGGCAUCUAGUAGGGGGAGGUCUGGGAUGCUGCUAAACAGCCUACAAUGCACAAGACAUGCUUCCACUAUUAAAAAAAAAUUAUCUGGCCCAAAAUGUCAUAGUGCCAGGAUAUUAUAAAUAUAGGCAAAGGUGUUCAGAGGUUUAAAACUGAACAAGAGGACAUCAGUAAAAGUUCAGUGUUGCAGAAUGGGUUAAGAUUGGAACAUGAAAACAAAAGUUUUUGUCCCAAGAUCAGGAGCAGAUGAGGUCUAGUGGUUGGAAAGCAAGACUGGAAAUGACACCUUGGACUAAGGAUAUUUGGGCAAGCCCACAUAACAGCAUUUGAAUAUGCAACAGUUAGAGCUGGGACAAUGAAAGCUUGAUUUUGGUCUUGGCAAAUAAGGGCUAGAGAGUGUGGAGCUGUGGCCAGAGUCAAUUCUGUGGGGACAAGUAGAAAAGGGUUUGGAUCUUAGCUUGUGCCUAUACUAGCUGAGCAACUCAUUUUACCUUGUAGGGUUUCCUUCCUUUAAGGUGGGAAAACUUGUUAAAAGGAUUAGAAAUGUAUGUUAAAUACCCAGGACAUAAAUGCUCAGUAAAUGAUAUUGAACAUUAUUGAGAUACUGUUGAAGCUCUAAUUAUACCUCUCUUUCCAUGAUUGUCUUUGCCCCCUUUUGGAAAAUUAGUCAGGGUACAACUAUAUUGCAUAACAUGGAAAAUAGAAAAACAUAUGAACUGUGGGAUGGGAAAGGAAAAGUGAACGACAACAGACAAAACAUUUGCAAGACAUCCUUAGGCAAAAUAUUGAAAGCUGAGUCAGAAUCACCAAGAUCUCUGAACAACAUUCCUCUGUUAGGAAGAGAAAGCAGAUAUUUCCAUGAGAAUGUGAGGGGGAUGAGGAGAGUGGAGUAUGCUGCUGUGAUCAAUUAUCCAAACACAACCUGGUUAAAUCCAACUCUCUGUGGCUCCUGCAUCCACACAGCUGCAUGUUAUGCAGCACACAAUGAGGCUGACUGCUUCCACUUGCACUCAUGACCACUGUCCUCCAAUGUCCUUAGUACUGUGCUGCAAUGAUGUUAUAUAUCCCCAAUCCAUGCUCUCCUAGUUGAUACUUCGUACUUUUUCAACCUCUUUGCAAACCUCCAACACCUCUUUUACCAUAAUCACUGUUAGCUAAUGACCUUGAUACCUAUUUGACUGUCAGAAUGGAAGUCUUUAGGAAGAACUUCCAUAAACUCUCCCACCUCAUCUACUUAACUCCUACAUCUGUGUCCAUUCACUCUACCUUCUUUCCUGCUAUGAAGAAUUAGCUUGAACUGUUCAUACUGUUAGCUAAGACCAACCCCUCAUUGAUGCACUAUAAAGGCAUCCCUUUACACCCACUAAAGCAUGACUCUAGCAAUUCUCAACAUUCUCUUCGACCAGAAUCAUUCUCUUUUGGAUCAUUCCCGUCAGCCUAAUGUCAUUUCUCUCACCUUAAAAAAAAAAAAAAGAAAAGUUUUACUGUGCCAAUUUCAUUUCAUUUUGCUUCUUCCCUUCAAUACAAAAGCCUUGAAUUCUCUGUAGUGACAGGCUCUACUUUCUCUACUCAAGAGAGCGCUCAUUCUCUAUCUUAAUCCAUUAGGCUUUCACCACCACUGUUUUGCAAAACUGCUCUUACCAAGACCAUCAGUGCAAUUUGUAUUAGUAAAUCUAAUAGCUCUCAAACCUCAUCUUCCUUGAACUGUAUGGAAUUUGACAGUCAGAUACAUUCUCCUCCUUAAAAUGCUUUCUUUACAGUUGACCUUCCAUAUCCACGGGUUCUACAUCUAAUACAUCUGGGAUUCAAUGAAGCCCAGAUCAGAAAUAUUUAAAAAAUAGGCUAGGUGUGGUGGCCCACGCCUGUAAUCCCAGCACUUUG